AAAACAACUCUCAGCUACGGAUAUCUUGGCUCUUGCAACGAUGAAGAACGCAGCGAAAUGCGAUACGUAGUGUGAAUUGCAGAAUUCCGCGAAUCAUCGAGUCUUUGAACGCAAGUUGCGCCCGAGGCUUGUCCGAGGGCAUUUCCGCUAGAGCGUCACCG
Molecule: ribosomal RNA, 161 nt
Filed under: Rhynchostegium aquaticum
Lineage: Eukaryota; Viridiplantae; Streptophyta; Bryopsida; Hypnales; Brachytheciaceae
Description: 5.8S ribosomal RNA
Rfam family: 5.8S ribosomal RNA
About the family: 5.8S ribosomal RNA (5.8S rRNA) is a component of the large subunit of the eukaryotic ribosome. It is transcribed by RNA polymerase I as part of the 45S precursor that also contains 18S and 28S rRNA.
Source: RNAcentral